AGGAAAUUAAUCCUUACACACCCAUCACCAUUUCCAUCACCCUUCAAAUAAAUAUCUUAUGCAUUAAAACAUUUGAAAAACAUAAAACAUAAACUUUAUGUAAUAAAUCAAAACUUUGAAUCAAAACACAAACCUUUUUGUUCUUGGCAAAAAUGUCAAGAACAAUGAAGAACAUUCAUGAAAAACCCAAAAUUUUUCCAUGAACUUUUUCACCCAAAAACAUUCCAAAACCAUUCAAACUUUAGGGAAAUAACAUCUAACCAAACUAGGGUACAUAAGGGUUCCAAAAGUCACUUGAAAACACAUUUAACAAGUCAAACAAGAACCCAAAAAUGCACCCUUUUGAUUUGGCCGAAAAUCCCCAAAGUCAUGGCACCAAAUUUUAGCUCCAAUAUUCAUGCUCAUAUGAACUACAUCUACAACAUUUGAGAUGGCAAAUUUUCUAGCAAAAUUUACAUUCAAAAAACAAGAAUAAAGCUUGUAACAUAUUACAACUUUUAAAUCACAAACUAUGAACUACAAAACCCAAAAGGAUUCACCAACUACUAGACCUAGGCUCUGAUACCACUUGAAGGAAUAUUUUUGUGAAAACAUGUUCAUUUAAGCAACAUCAAUAAGCAUGCAAUUAACAAUUAAAG
RNAcentral lists this long non-coding RNA (638 nucleotides) under Malus domestica (apple). RNAcentral's name for it is "long non-coding RNA (MDOM_LNC019498)". The record is from RNAcentral. Lineage: Eukaryota; Viridiplantae; Streptophyta; Magnoliopsida; Rosales; Rosaceae.